GGAGGAGUACCCAAGUGGCUGAAGGGUCUGGCUUCGAACACCAGUAGGUCGGUAGUCCCGGCGCGGGGGUUCAAAUCCCCCCUCCUCCG
RNAcentral lists this transfer RNA (89 nucleotides) under Lachnospiraceae bacterium. Its description in RNAcentral is "tRNA-Ser". It matches the Rfam family "tRNA". Rfam says of the family: Transfer RNA (tRNA) molecules are approximately 80 nucleotides in length. Their secondary structure includes four short double-helical elements and three loops (D, anti-codon, and T loops). Further hydrogen bonds mediate the characteristic L-shaped molecular structure. tRNAs have two regions of fundamental functional importance: the anti-codon, which is responsible for specific mRNA codon recognition, and the 3' end, to which the tRNAs corresponding amino acid is attached (by aminoacyl-tRNA synthetases). tRNAs cope with the degeneracy of the genetic code in two manners: having more than one tRNA (with a specific anti-codon) for a particular amino acid; and 'wobble' base-pairing, i.e. permitting non-standard base-pairing at the 3rd anti-codon position. Lineage: Bacteria; Bacillati; Bacillota; Clostridia; Lachnospirales; Lachnospiraceae. RNAcentral also lists the same sequence under 2 other names. The record is from RNAcentral.